UACAGAGGUCCCAAGCGUUGUUCGGAUUCACUGGGCGUAAAGGGUGCGUAGGUGGUGAGGUAAGUCGGAUGUGAAAGCUCCGAGCUCAACUCGGAAAUGGCAUUGGAAACUACCUUGCUCGAGGGCUUGAGGGGGGACUGGAAUACUUGGUGUAGCAGUGAAAUGCGUAGAUAUCAAGUAGAACACCAGUGGCGAAGGCGAGUCCCUGGAAAACUCCUGACACUGAGGCACGAAAGCUAGGGGAGCAAACAGG
RNAcentral lists this ribosomal RNA (253 nucleotides) under uncultured bacterium. Its description in RNAcentral is "partial 16S ribosomal RNA". It matches the Rfam family "Bacterial small subunit ribosomal RNA", at positions 524 to 776 of the family's 1533-position model. The record is from RNAcentral.